Molecule: transfer RNA, 56 nt
Filed under: Ovis aries (sheep)
Lineage: Eukaryota; Metazoa; Chordata; Mammalia; Artiodactyla; Bovidae
Rfam family: tRNA
About the family: Transfer RNA (tRNA) molecules are approximately 80 nucleotides in length. Their secondary structure includes four short double-helical elements and three loops (D, anti-codon, and T loops).
Source: Rfam by way of RNAcentral
AGCUCAGUUGGUAAAGAAUCUGCCUGUAAUGCAGGAGACCCAGGUUCGAUUCCUGG